Non-coding RNA from Myotis lucifugus (little brown bat), 75 nucleotides. The record is from Rfam. NCBI's taxonomy places the organism in Eukaryota, Metazoa, Chordata, Mammalia, Chiroptera, Vespertilionidae.
GGCGGUUCUCAGGUGAUGCACCCCAGAAUCGGGCUCCCUCCUCUCUGGUUCCAGGUGUGUCACCUGAGAACCACA